This is a long non-coding RNA of Rhagoletis zephyria (snowberry fruit fly), 119 nucleotides long. RefSeq lists it as uncharacterized. NCBI's taxonomy places the organism in Eukaryota, Metazoa, Arthropoda, Insecta, Diptera, Tephritidae. The record is from RefSeq and is a predicted model, not a curated record.
CUUACCGUAAGAAACGUAAGAACCUGUAGGUUUUAGAUUCUUAAGUUAGGGCCUUACGGAAAUUGAGAGCAGUGAGAGAAUUAGGCUUGCCAGAUUUUCGUUUUCGUAUUUCUUAAAAA